Molecule: long non-coding RNA, 547 nt
Organism: Mus musculus (house mouse)
Lineage: Eukaryota; Metazoa; Chordata; Mammalia; Rodentia; Muridae
Product: predicted gene, 46298
Exons: 3
Source: RefSeq, a predicted model, not a curated record
GGGUGCAGUGUGACCUGGCAACAAUUAGAGUGUGUUUGAAGCUCUUCAAAGGCUUCUUCUCGACCUUUCUAAAGUACAGCAAAACUCUCCAAAGAGAUUAUGAAAAGAAAACCGAGUCAUUUUGAGAUCGUACUGAUUUCAAGAGCGGGCGGGAUCACAUUCGAGCCCCACCUCUGUCUAAGUUGCUACUGGAACCAUGCUACACGAAGGGGUAGAACUUACUGUUUUAGAAGAGGCUCCAUUCAGAAGGCUCAGCCACGGAUAAAAAGAGCCCGACACCACUGGGCAUGAGAAGAGGGACAGGUGUGGGUGCAGUGAACCAGCAACAUUCAGGAGAACUGGCCUGCCCAUCAGAUCAGAAACCAAUCAGCAACUAGAUGGAUGAUCAGAGAAAGCACAAGCAACCGCAAGUGGAGACUACAGCAUGUCACAACUGUCAGAAGCACGUCACAACUGUCAGAAUGGGACAGCAGAACAUUUUGAGAUAAGUCACACCAAACAGACCUUGAUGGACAGUGGUUUGGGAAACACUAUUUUGUGUUUUUUU